CUUUCCAAUACUAAAGCACUUGGAAUUUUAUAAAAGUUCAACGUGCUUCCCAAAAAAGUACUUAUGAGCAAAAUUAUAUACACUAAAGCCCAACGGUAAAAAAUACUGUUCAUAAACACAGUGUAAAGAUGAACAUGCCCCCAAUCUUUUUGUUCUUUCACGUUAUCAUUUUUUUACCUUAACAGUGAGAUGACUAAUAUGCCCUUAUUGGAUACGUGCAGGUCAUCUAGUAUUUCAUUCUUCAGCUGUCGUUCUUUCAUUUUGACAGCAAGUACCACCCACCGCUCCACCGCCGUUGCAUUUGCCCUUUCUGUUCCUCCUGCUUGCUCAAUCCAUUACUACUUUGAUUCAUAUUUUGUUCUCUCAACUAAAGAACCGCGGCCUGUUUCUCGAACUCUCUCCCGCAGCGGAACCACCGUCAUCACCAGGUGCCGCAACCCCUCUUUGCCUCUGAGUAUAUUUGUACCAUAGAAAAGUCUGUUAAAUUCACACCGAAGCCGAAGCUACAACCACGAGUCCAUGGGAAAUAGGGAGUCCGAUCGGGGAAUUGCUUCAUCCAAUUCAGGGAAAUUGAAAUCGGCAAAGAAUCACCUUUGGGGGCUAUAACUGCUGGGAAAGAGCUGCAUCAUACUAUAAUCUUUCAAUUUCAAUUUCCCACAUGAAUCUUCUGGUCCCUUGAUUCCUUUCAGUCCUUCUCUCCCCGUCCCUACUCCGCUCUGCUCCGUACGCACGCUCAUCUUUCUUUAUUCUUCCUAUUUCUUCUCCUUAAUUUGUAAUAUUUUUUUUUUGUUUUGAAAUUAGAAUUUUGUUUUGUGUGAUUGAACCAAGAAACUUAACAUGGUUGCAGAAAAAAAAAAAUAAUUUGUUUGUUGUAA
Pyrus x bretschneideri (Chinese white pear) is the source of this 875-nucleotide long non-coding RNA. RefSeq lists it as uncharacterized. NCBI's taxonomy places the organism in Eukaryota, Viridiplantae, Streptophyta, Magnoliopsida, Rosales, Rosaceae. The record is from RefSeq and is a predicted model, not a curated record. The transcript has 2 exons.